RNAcentral lists this unclassified non-coding RNA (413 nucleotides) under fungal sp. RNAcentral describes it as "partial internal transcribed spacer region". The stretch from base 1 to 46 matches the Rfam family "Eukaryotic small subunit ribosomal RNA", at positions 1786 to 1831 of the family's 1831-position model. The record is from RNAcentral. Lineage: Eukaryota; Fungi.
AAGUCGUAACAAGGUUUCCGUAGGUGAACCUGCGGAAGGAUCAUUAUCACGUUAUUUCCAACGUACACUCACCACGCGUUAUGUUUUCAUAUAUAUCUCCCGUUUUCCUACAUGUAUCGGCUACGUGCUAACUGAGGGUAUGAGAUGGGUUUAUCCGAGAGGGUAUCCGAACUCAGACGCGGACAUUACGAUAGUAGUAGGAAACGGCUAGCCAAGGACGAGUAGUCUGCUCUAUCUCAUGGACAAAAGUUUGCGGCACAUCUAUUUAAUUUACUUUAAACAAUUUUCACCCAACCUUUUUGCUAGUUGACUUUAUCUGCUCGUCAUUCUCUCUUCAUUGAGAGGUGCGGCACGUUUAUUUAUUUAAACGUUAAAUUACAAUACAACUCUUAGCAAUGGAUAUCUUGGUUCUC